Molecule: ribosomal RNA, 380 nt
Filed under: uncultured eukaryote
Lineage: Eukaryota
Description: partial 18S ribosomal RNA
Rfam family: Eukaryotic small subunit ribosomal RNA
Source: RNAcentral
CAAUAGCGUAUAUUAAAGUUGUUGCGGUUAAAAAGCUCGUAGUUGGAGUUCUGCCAGGUGACACUCGUCCGCCCAAGUGGUGUGUACAGGGUGUGCAUCUGGCCCUUUCAAGGGGAACGUGUCUGCACUUCAUUGUGUGGUGCGAGAUCCUUGACUUUUACUUUGAGGAAAUAAGAGUGUUCCAAGCAGGCUCUCGUCGUGCAUAGCUCAGCAUGGAAUAAUAGCAUUGGACUUCGUUUCUACGCUGUUGGUUGCAAGAAGCGAGGUAAUGAUGAAGAGGGAUAGUUGGGGGCAUUCGUAUUUAACUGUCAGAGGUGAAAUUCUUGGAUUUGCUAAAGACGGACUACUGCGAAAGCAUCUGCCAUGGAUGUUUUCAUUGA